AGCUCUUUUUUUUUCCAGGAUGCAUGUUUUCUUUAUUCUAGGUGCAUUGCAUCUUCCUGGAAUUCCUGGCUUUAUUGAAGAUGGAACCUUGUUUUCUUCACUAGCUUUGCUGUAUGCUGCGUGGCACAAGCGAUGACAGCCGCAGUGUCCGACGCUGGAAUUCCUGCGGAGCAGGUGACGAAGAGGAGCCUGGCAACUGCAGGAAUAUCCUGGUUUGCUGAUGUGUUUUUUUGCUGAGGAUGGAUUCAGACCCCUGCCGUCUGACAGCUAAGUUGAGGGGCUGCAGACCACUGCCCUACAGUGUGUAAUUUUGACUUCAGUUGGAAAGAAAUUUUCAAAAACAGAAAUCUUUCUCAUUCAAAGAAAUUGCAUUUUAUUGAACUUCCCAUCAGAGUGGCUCUUCAGAGGUGAUGUACUUGGCAGUAGAAGUCAUCAGCAACAAGAAUCUUUUUGUUUUUUCCUUAUUUUUUUUUUUAAAGUCA
Gymnogyps californianus (California condor) is the source of this 482-nucleotide long non-coding RNA. RefSeq lists it as uncharacterized. The record is from RefSeq and is a predicted model, not a curated record. The transcript has 4 exons. Lineage: Eukaryota; Metazoa; Chordata; Aves; Accipitriformes; Cathartidae.